Non-coding RNA from Misgurnus anguillicaudatus (oriental weatherfish), 2040 nucleotides. Lineage: Eukaryota; Metazoa; Chordata; Actinopteri; Cypriniformes; Cobitidae. The record is from RefSeq and is a predicted model, not a curated record.
AUAACUUGAGGGAAAUUUACGUAUACUGAUGUUUCAAAUCAAAUAUUAAUUUAUUAAUGACAGCUAAUCAUUUAUAAAGAUUUUUUAUAACAAUAUGUAUUUAUAUAAUAUCAAUUUAAUACAUUUAUUUCGUUACACCUACAUCACUGAGCGCAAGGGAGUGCAGCCAACAAAUACAUUCAGGUGUGUUUGACUUAACACCGAGAUGCGCAGACAGCACGUGGUAUGACAUCAAGUACCGCGAGAGUUUGGGAAAGCCCCGGAAAAGGUUUGAACUCGCGGUACUUGAUGUCACGAUCGGUUUGCGCGUAGAUCAGCAUGAAGUCAAACACAUCUGAGAGAUGUGUGGGCUGCCUGCACUCAACGUUGAGAUCAUUCAAUAGAGUGUAACCUCAAUCGGUUUUUGCAGCUUCUGGGUCUCGUGUAGAACGAUUUUUUGUUCUUUUCCAACUCGAUUUUUAACUCCCUAAACUAGUAGGAUGUUCCAACGGGUGAAGCAACAGUGCUGACGGCAGUUUCAGUGUCAAGUUUUCAUGCCAUGACCACUGGGACGGAAACCAUUAUGACAUUGCCUUGGACAUCAAACUAAACCAUCUCAUUCUGGCUUUUGAGGUGGAUUCUAACCUCGAAAUCUCAGAAGGACAGGUCUAAGAUGGAUGCAGCCUCCAUAGGAUGCAACCUUGCAUUUGAGAAACACCCAUAGAACGGUCAACUUACCCCAUACUCUAACCUGAAUGCAGGGAUCAUAAAACUUUAUCUUUUACCUUAAUUGUUAGAUGGGUGUUGAUACCAAACUUUUUUUCUCGUCUACCCAGGAGAAAGUCAUGGGUUCUGCUGCUAAGGUUGUCAUAAUCGUCUUUUAUUCUGCUUACCUGACUCAUGCAGAAUUCUGGCUUGAUGUUUGGUCCACCUGUUAGCUGGCUCUGGUGCUUGGUAGUCUUCUCAAACCUCUGAAUCAAGACCACCAUGAGAGGCCUUCUGAAGACCAUCAUUACGCUUCAGAUCCAGUUGUCUUUACUAUGAGAUAGAACUGAACUGGAGUCUGUGAACUAAUGCUGUGUUCGAGACAACUUGGAUGUUGGAUAUUAUUGACCUCAAACCCGUAAGAAGUCUGGAACAGCAAACAAAGUUGAGUAUCAGACGUUGAACUAUUUUUACAGCACAUAUUUAUGAACAUGAAUGUUAAAUUAUCCAGUAACCAUUUUCUGCCAUAAUUGGCACAAGAGCACAAACUUCUCCUGGCGUCUCAUUAUGUGGUAAACACGCAAAUGUGAUACGUGAUUGACUGGAAUGCAUUGAGGUCGGAGGUAGGAUAUUUAAUGACAUAACAUCAGAAAUCCGAGUUGUCUGUAACACUGCACAAUAUUUCACAGAAUUGUCACCACCUGAUUAUCCUCCCAUGUUUUUAACACAACCAUUGAUUGGUCACAAAAAAAGAAAUCUAUAUUUAAUGUUAAAAAACACUUACUGUGUUAGAUAACUCUACCAUUUGUUCACUUAAGCUGACUUCCAAGAGCAAUGUUAAUGAAAAGUUCAUUUUUGUCACAGUUGCAAACUAACAACCACACAAAAUAUGAAGAAUAGCCAGAACUGUGGUAAUAAGCUAGCCCUAAAAUGUUGUGAGAAUCUUGAUGUAUUGGACACAGGUGUGUAGUAUCUGUUAUUUAUACCACGGGUCUGUUGAAUGCUGUAUUCUGAUUGGCUGAGAAAUGUUCCGUGGGUAUGCAUUAAUUUCUGAUAACCACACACCUAACUUGUCAAAUGUCUUAAAAAUAGGCACCAGAGCAAUGUUUGUGGUAACCGUGGUAUUAGAGGAAUAAUUGACUCCGGUCCUUUGAAUUAUUUGAAAUAAAGCACACCCGCAGUGUAACGGCACUCCGCUUCGCAUCGUGCCGCAUUGCACCUUGGGUGUGCAUUAUUUUCUUAUAAUUCAAUGGCCCGUCGUCAGUUAUUCCUUACAUAUUGACGGUUGACAGGUUUGUUUGCAUGUAAUUGCAUUAUUAUUAAUUUGGGGUUGAUAGUCCAAUGUCGAUUUUUUUU